GGGGAUGUAGUUAAAAAUAACAUUUAAUUUGCAAUUAAAAGGAGCUAAUUAUAGCCUUCCUCA
This 63-nucleotide transfer RNA is filed under the name Stictopleurus subviridis. RNAcentral's name for it is "tRNA-Ala". It matches the Rfam family "tRNA". Rfam says of the family: Transfer RNA (tRNA) molecules are approximately 80 nucleotides in length. Their secondary structure includes four short double-helical elements and three loops (D, anti-codon, and T loops). Lineage: Eukaryota; Metazoa; Arthropoda; Insecta; Hemiptera; Rhopalidae. RNAcentral also lists the same sequence under 1 other name. The record is from RNAcentral.